This 631-nucleotide ribosomal RNA is filed under the name Salmonella enterica subsp. enterica. RNAcentral describes it as "bacterial SSU rRNA". It matches the Rfam family "Bacterial small subunit ribosomal RNA", at positions 1 to 621 of the family's 1533-position model. The record is from RNAcentral. RNAcentral also lists the same sequence under 1 other name. Lineage: Bacteria; Pseudomonadati; Pseudomonadota; Gammaproteobacteria; Enterobacterales; Enterobacteriaceae.
AAAUUGAAGAGUUUGAUCAUGGCUCAGAUUGAACGCUGGCGGCAGGCCUAACACAUGCAAGUCGAACGGUAACAGGAAGCAGCUUGCUGCUUUGCUGACGAGUGGCGGACGGGUGAGUAAUGUCUGGGAAACUGCCUGAUGGAGGGGGAUAACUACUGGAAACGGUGGCUAAUACCGCAUAACGUCGCAAGACCAAAGAGGGGGACCUUCGGGCCUCUUGCCAUCAGAUGUGCCCAGAUGGGAUUAGCUUGUUGGUGAGGUAACGGCUCACCAAGGCGACGAUCCCUAGCUGGUCUGAGAGGAUGACCAGCCACACUGGAACUGAGACACGGUCCAGACUCCUACGGGAGGCAGCAGUGGGGAAUAUUGCACAAUGGGCGCAAGCCUGAUGCAGCCAUGCCGCGUGUAUGAAGAAGGCCUUCGGGUUGUAAAGUACUUUCAGCGGGGAGGAAGGUGUUGUGGUUAAUAACCGCAGCAAUUGACGUUACCCGCAGAAGAAGCACCGGCUAACUCCGUGCCAGCAGCCGCGGUAAUACGGAGGGUGCAAGCGUUAAUCGGAAUUACUGGGCGUAAAGCGCACGCAGGCGGUCUGUCAAGUCGGAUGUGAAAUCCCCGGGCUCAACCUGGGAAC